RNAcentral lists this ribosomal RNA (496 nucleotides) under uncultured bacterium. RNAcentral describes it as "partial 16S ribosomal RNA". It matches the Rfam family "Bacterial small subunit ribosomal RNA", at positions 28 to 506 of the family's 1533-position model. The record is from RNAcentral.
GACGAACGCUGGCGGCGUGCCUAAUACAUGCAAGUAGAACGCUGAAUAGAGUAGCUUGCUCUUCUUGGAUGAGUUGCGAACGGGUGAGUAACGCGUAGGUAACCUGCCUUGUAGCGGGGGAUAACUAUUGGAAACUAUAGCUAAUACCGCAUAACAAUAGCCGCCACAUGUCAUUUAUUUGACUGGGGCACUUGCUGCACUACAAGAUGGACCUGCGUUGUAUUAUCUAUUAGGUGUGGGAAUGGCUCACCUAGGCGACGAGAAAUAGCCUACCUUAGAGGGGGACCGGCCACACUGGGACUGAAACACGGCCCAGACUCCUACGGGGGGAAGCAGUAGGGAAUCUUCGGCAAUGGGGGCAACCCUGACCGAGCAACGCCGCGUGGGCUAAGAAGGUUAUCGGGUCGGAAAGCUCAGGGGUAAGUCAAGAACGAGUGUGAGAGUGGAAAGAGCACACUGUGACGGAAGCGUAGCAGAAACGGACGGCAAACUAUUU